This 478-nucleotide ribosomal RNA is filed under the name uncultured bacterium. Its description in RNAcentral is "partial 16S ribosomal RNA". It matches the Rfam family "Bacterial small subunit ribosomal RNA", at positions 28 to 507 of the family's 1533-position model. The record is from RNAcentral.
GACGAACGCUGGCGGCGUGCUUAACACAUGCAAGUCGAACGGGAUUUAGUAAACAGCAGCCUCGGUGGAAGAUUACUAAUGAGAGUGGCGAACGGGUGAGUAACGCGUGAGCAACCUGCCUAUGACAGUGGGAUAGCCUCGGGAAACCGGGAUUAAUACCGCAUCAAAUCGUAGAAACACAUGUUUUAACGGUCAAAGAUUUAUCGGUCAUAGAUGGGCUCGCGUCUGAUUAGCUAGUUGGUGAGAUAACAGCCCACCAAGGCGACGAUCAGUAGCCGGUCUGAGAGGAUGAACGGCCACAUUGGAACUGAGACACGGUCCAAACUCCUACGGGAGGCAGCAGUGGGGAAUAUUGCACAAUGGGGGAAACCCUGAUGCAGCGACGCCGCGUGAACGAAGAAGGUAUUCGUAUCGUAAAGUUCUGUCCUAUGGGAAGAUAAUGACAGUACCAUAGAAGAAAGCUCCGGCUAAAUACGUG